GGAUGUGAGGGCAAGCUGGCUGCAACAUCUGUCACUCCAUUGAUCACCAGGGUUGAUUUAGCUGAUCUGGCUGGCUAACGGGUGCCCCCUUCCUCACGACUUCAGGUGAGACCCUCCUGAAGAGGACCAUUUCCUCAGUCAAGGGUAUAUGAGUAGCUGUGCACCCCGCUAGAACCUGCAAACAAACUCUCAAAACAUUUGGGCUGUAGGAAACUGUCCUCAAGUCUUAACAGGUGUUAUUAGUCUCU
This is a non-coding RNA of Fukomys damarensis (Damara mole-rat), 248 nucleotides long. Lineage: Eukaryota; Metazoa; Chordata; Mammalia; Rodentia; Bathyergidae. The record is from Rfam.